This is a long non-coding RNA of Oncorhynchus gorbuscha (pink salmon), 557 nucleotides long. RefSeq lists it as uncharacterized. NCBI's taxonomy places the organism in Eukaryota, Metazoa, Chordata, Actinopteri, Salmoniformes, Salmonidae. The transcript is spliced from 3 exons. The record is from RefSeq and is a predicted model, not a curated record.
AAAGACAGAGCAGCACUUCAAGCCCUAUCUGAAGCAGCAUCUCCCCAAGCGCCUUCACUACGCCAACAACAGGAGAAUAGAGGACAUCCACCUGUUAGUGGAGAGGAAGUGGCAUAUCGCAAGGAAGUCUCCAGAAGGAGGAAAGAGGCACCCUGGGAAAUGUGGUUUUGCAGGAGAUCACGGUUAUGACAACAAGAUAAACAGCAUGCAGACUAUUUUCUUUGGAUAUGGACCAAUGUUUAAAUUCAAGACCAAAGUGCCAGUUUUUGAAAACAUUGAACUAUACAAUGUCAUGUGUGGUAAGGCAUCUUCAUUAUUGUUUUAACUUGAGGGAGGCAAACAGUAGCACUCAUCAGCCCAAACUCAUACAGUAGCACUCAUCAGCCCAAACUCAUACAGUAGCACUCAUCAGCCCAAACUCAUACAGUAGCACUCAUCAGCCCAAACUCAUACAGUAGCACUCAUCAGCCCAAACUCAUACAGUAGCACUCAUCAGCCCAAACUCAUACAGUAGCACUCAUCAGCCCAAACUCAUACAGUAGCACUCAUCAGCCCAA